Molecule: transfer RNA, 71 nt
Filed under: Pseudomonadota bacterium
Lineage: Bacteria; Pseudomonadati; Pseudomonadota
Description: Proteobacteria bacterium (activated sludge metagenome) tRNA-Thr
Rfam family: tRNA
About the family: Transfer RNA (tRNA) molecules are approximately 80 nucleotides in length.
Source: RNAcentral
GCUCUAUUAUUUUAGUGGUAGAAUGGCGGUUUUGUAAACCUUUGGCGUCUGUUCGAUUCAGACAUAGAGCU